This 411-nucleotide ribosomal RNA is filed under the name bacterium enrichment culture clone ALO1_GLFRUDD03HHAQ4. RNAcentral describes it as "bacterial SSU rRNA". It matches the Rfam family "Bacterial small subunit ribosomal RNA", at positions 9 to 420 of the family's 1533-position model. The record is from RNAcentral.
GAGUUUGAUCGUGGCUCAGAUUGAACGCUGGCGGCAUGCCUUACACAUGCAAGUCGAACGGCAGCACGGGAGCUUGCUCCUGGUGGCGAGUGGCGAACGGGUGAGUAAUGCAUCGGAACGUAUCCUGGAGUGGGGGAUAACGUAGCGAAAGUUACGCUAAUACCGCAUAUUCUGUGAGCAGGAAAGCGGGGGACCUUCGGGCCUCGCGCUCUUGGAGCGGCCGAUGUCGGAUUAGCUAGUUGGUGAGGUAAAGGACUCACCAAGGCGACGAUCCGUAGCAGGUCUGAGAGGAUGAUCUGCCACACUGGAACUGAGACACGGUCCAGACUCCUACGGGAGGCAGCAGUGGGAAUUUUGGACAAUGGGGGCAACCCUGAUCCAGCCAUGCCGCGUGAGUGAAGAAGGCCUCGG